UCCAAUAGAUAUGCCGGUAGCAAGCAAACAUCAUUUCACCAGCUUUAACAUUUUCACUGGCGUUGUCUGUGACAACUUGAACAACAUUUUCUGCUCCAAUAGAGUCUAUUGUACUCUUGAACAAGGAGAACAUUUUGAAUCAGUCGAAGAGUCGCUUGCAUCAACGGACUCAAGAAACAGGGUUCCCUUAGGAGAAUUCACCAAGAUAUUGAUGAUCAUUUUUCCAUUUCUCGCCGUCCACUUAUCCAUCAGUAUGGAACAACCAUUCUUGUUCUAUUCUACUUUGUGCUCCUCCACGAUUUUAUUCACCUCUUCUACCUCCUUUUUAGAUAUGGCCCACUAACUUCAUAAUAAGUUGAGGCUUCAUUCUUGGACCAUAUUGGCCUACAACCUCAAUAAAAGCAGCAAAAGUGUCAGUAUAAUUAACACAAUUAAAAGGAAGACCUGCAUCAUACAUCCAC
RNAcentral lists this long non-coding RNA (461 nucleotides) under Nicotiana benthamiana. Its description in RNAcentral is "long non-coding RNA (NBEN_LNC033037)". The record is from RNAcentral. Lineage: Eukaryota; Viridiplantae; Streptophyta; Magnoliopsida; Solanales; Solanaceae.